RNAcentral lists this long non-coding RNA (5303 nucleotides) under Nicotiana benthamiana. RNAcentral describes it as "long non-coding RNA (NBEN_LNC040494)". Lineage: Eukaryota; Viridiplantae; Streptophyta; Magnoliopsida; Solanales; Solanaceae. The record is from RNAcentral.
GAAAAAUAUGAAGAAGUCCAUAACAAACAUAAGCAGUAUAAGCCGUAUAAGCGGGUUCAAAAAUAAUUUCUAUACUAAAUUUACCUUGCUUUAGCUAUUAUUUAUACAUAUACACAGUAUUAUUUUUUUGACGAAGCGGAUUCAGUUGAACCCACUUCUCACCACUUGGGUCCGCCCUUGCUAAUUUUGAGAAGAAGAACUCCUGCUCCUAUUUUCAUGAAGAUGAAGAAAGCAAAUCGAAGAAGAAGAAGAAUGGCUGAAAAGAGGAAGAAGAGAUAUUCAGACAAGACGAGGCGAUAUAAUCUAAGUCUUAGAUUAUGUUUGUGACUUGUUCAACUGGACACGUGGAGCAGAUUAGACCAUUGAAUAAUCCAAGCAUAGUCUAUUAUGGGUCAAUUAAUACCCCUCAGAUCUGUUUAAACAUUCUAGAGUUUUCCCUCACGUGAGUAGCAUGUGAGAGAAUCAAAGUUGUUGCUGAUUGAAUAAUAUUGUUAUAGAUAGGCUAAUUAGAUAGUGACAAGUGUAUAGUUUUUCUCUUUCCUAUUAUUUUUUAAUUCUUUAGCAAUUGUAUAUAUACAUGUACAGAUUUGAUGAUGAAAUACAUAGAAAUUUUACAAUCUUCUCCUUCCAUUUCUUACAUGGUAUCAGAGAAAUUGCUCGAUCCAGUAUUACAUCCAAUGAACUUAUCUAUUACAUAAGCUCCUUCACUAGAAGAAAAUGGGUGAACCAACCACUAUUGUUGUAGAGACUAGGAAUACUAUCAAACCUGUGACCUAUGAUGCUAAUCACCCCAAUCAUCUCAACAAUUCUGAUUCACCGGGUAUGACUCUAGUCACUACAGUCUUUGAUGGAAGAGGAUACCCAGGAUAGAGAAGAUCCAUUCUACUGUCACUAUCAGCCAAAAAGAAGCUUGGCUUCAUCAAUGGAGUCUGCAAGUCUCUAGAUCUCACAUCUCCUGAAUUUGAGCAAUGGAGUUGUGUGAAUGAUAUGGUCAUCUCCUGGAUUCUUAAUGCUCUUUGAAAGGACAUUUCUGACAGUGUAACUUACUCCAAGACUGCAAAGGAGCUCUGGGAAAUCUUAUAACAGAGAUUUGGGAGAUCAAAUGGAGCUAAGCUCUAUCAUUUGGAAAAGGAAUUAUCAGGUUUAGUCUAAGGAAAUAGUGACAUUGCAGGAUAUUUCACUAAGCUAAAACGUUUGUGGGAUGAAUUCGAUGCUUUAAAUGUUAUCAUAUACUGCACUUAUGUGUGUAUUUGUGAAGGAAAUGGAAAAUUAGCUAAACCACUGGAGGAUAAGAGGUUGAUCUGAAUACUAAUAGGACUAAAUGACAUAUAUGCACAUGCAAGAGGAAACAUUCUCAUGAUGAAUCCCUUGCGUAGCAUAGAUGUUGCUUAUUCACUCCUCUUACAAGAUGAGAAUCAAAGAGAAAUGUAUGCAAAUACAAGUUUCAACGCAGAAUCACUUUCAUUCAUGGCAGAAUCCAAACAACCUAAUGCCCAAUUGUUAGCAUAUUUUGCAGCUUUCAUGGUAGCAGGACAAGGGAAGAAAUUCCAGAAAAAUAGAAAUCAAGCACAAAGAGAUACUGCACCUGGACAUAAAUCUAACAAUUCAGGACAGAAAUUCAGCAAACCACAACAGAAGUUUAAAGGAAAGAAGAGAUACAAUCCAAAUUUAUCAUGUACCUAUUGUGGAAAGACAGGACACACAAAGGAAUACUGUUACAAAAUUAUUGGCUUUCUAGAUAAUUUUGAGUUUACUAAUCAAAAGAACUAUCAAAAUCAGAUCAAAAGGAAUGAAGUACUGGCACAUGAGGAUCAUGAAACUCAGGGGGGACUGCAGAAAUGAUGACUAUGUACAAACAGGAAAAGCUCACACAGGAAGGCAAUUUAGGAAUUAAUGCCAAUGCAAUUGCUGGUACUAUUCUAAAAUACUCAGGUUCAGUGUUUACAACUCUAAAUUCAGACACUUGAAUCAUAGAUUCAGGUGCCUCAGAAUAUAUGUGUUUUGAUCCUAAUUCUUUUUUGUUCCUUACUCAACUUCCUGUACCUCUAAACAUCAAUUUACCUAAUUCUUUCAAGAUAAUUGUUACUCAUAUAGGAAGUGUGUCCAUUCUACCAGAUCAUGUUCUAAACAAUGUCCUUCAUUUUCCAGAUUUGAAAUACAACUUACCGUCAGUUCAUAGGUUCUGCACUCAGUUCAAAUAUGAUGUUUUACUCACAUCUACUAGGUGUAUGUUGCAGAACUUUUCAAUGGAGAGUCCUCAGGUUUUUGGUGAAGUUAGAGAGGGACUUUACAUUUUGGAUCCUAGUAGUCUUAUGUCCAAGGUACUGUUCAGUAACAAUAUAUUUUCAAUUCAAAAAGAAAGCAAUUUCAUUUCAGAGUCUAAGUCUUUCUCCAGUCCUGUUUUUGUUAAUGCUAUUUCUGAUGUAAUGCUUUGGCAUGUACAGUUGGGACAUCUUCCCUUUUCAACUAUGAAAUAUUUAGAUUUACUUCAUUGUGACUCUAACUCUAAUUUUAUCUGUAAUAUUUGUCCUAAGGCUAGGAAAACAAGAAAUCCUGUCCCAAUCAACACUAUUAAGUCAAAUCACAUUUUUGAUCUUAUACAUAUAGACACAUGGGGCCCUUACAAGUCCAAUACCUAUAAUGGUAUUAGAUAUUUUCAUAUAAUAGUGGAUGAUUAUAGUAGAUGAACCUGGACAUUAUUGUUAUAUUCUAAAAGCAAUAUUUUCCUUAUGCUCAAAUCUUUCUUGUCUAUGGUUAGAGACAUUUUAAUAUGAAUGUAAGGAUGGGAAGGUCUAACAAUGCACUAGAAUUGGGGAAAGGGACACAUGAAGCAGCCUUUUUGGCUUUUAGAAGGAAUUUUGCAUCAACUAUCUUGUGUGGCAACACCUCAACAUAAUGGAAUUGUUGAAAGGAAGCAUAGACAUCUCUUGGAAAUUGCUAGAGGCCUAAUGUUUCAGUCUAGACUACCUAUGUUCUAUUGGGUAGAAUCUAUUCUUACUGCUGCACAUAUCCUAAAUAGGUUACCUUCAAGAGUACUUCAAGGAAAGACACCAUAUGCAGUUCUAUUUCAACAUAACCCAAGUAUGAUUAUUUCAGGAUUUCUGGAUGCAUAUGUUAUGCUUCUACACAGGCACAAGGAAGGGGGAAGUUUUUUGAGAGGGCAACAACUUAUGUUAUGCUUGGUUAUCCUCUCCAACAAAAGGGAUACAAAUUACUGGAAUUGCCCACCAGAAAUGUUUUUGUGUCAAGAUAUGUUAGACUUCAUGAAUCCCAUUUUCCUUUCACAGAAAUCAAUACAACACACCAUCCUAUUUUCCCAACAUCAACCUUCAACUCUGAACCUACUUUUUCUUUCACUUCACCAAAUCAAACACAACCAGAGUCCAUAAGCCAUGAAAUACUAAAUGAUUUUUCACCACAACCAUCAACACCUUCCUCCCAUUCACCUAUUCAUCACUCACCCUUACCUAGCCCAGCUUCGAUUUCCAGUGGGAUAGAGUCAUCAUAUACUCAUAUACCUGAAGCUAAACCUCAACACCCUAUUCCCUUGAGGAGAUCAGGAAGGAUCUCCACUCAACCUUCCUAUUUAAAAGACUUUUUGUGUAGUAGCAUCAUGUUAUCAGAUAUAGUUAUAGCCUAUUUCACUCACCCCUGUCAGGCAAGAGAAUGCAGUUUUUCAUCCCUAUCACCCACUAACCAACAGGUCAUGCAAUCCAUCUCUACUCUAAGAGAACCUUGAACUUCUACUCAAGCCUGUCAGAAUCCAGGAUGGGUAGAAGCCAUGAGUGCAGAAAUUAGAGCUUUAGAGGACAAUCACACCUGGGAUGUGGUUGAAUUACCUAAAGGAAAAAGGGCUUUACCUUGUAAAUGGUUAUACAAGGUGAAGCACUUAUCAUAUGGGAGAGUUGAAAGAUUGAAGGCAAGAUUGGUAGUUAGGAGGGAUGUUCAAAGAGAAGGGAUAGAUUAUGGUGAGACCUUCUCACCAGUGGUCAAUAUGACAACCAUAAGGUGUCUUCUCACCGUUGCAACUAAGAAAUAUUGGAUUGUUUCUCAAUUGGAUGUAAAUAAUGCAUUCCUGCAUGGAGACCUUCAAUAAGAGGUCUACAUGAAGUUCUCUGCAGGUUUGGAUCCUCCUAGUCCCAAACAUGUCUGUCUUUUGAGAAAUAUGGCCUAAUGAAAGCAUCUAGGCAGUGGUAUACUACACUUGGUGGAGCUCUAAGUAUUAAGGGAUAUUCAUCUUCCUUAAAGACUAUUCUUUGUUCUUUAGGCAUACUGUAAUCUUAUUUCUAUCCUAGCAGUCUAUGUUGAUGACAUACUGAUUACAUGGUAUGAUUUAGAUGAAAUUCAAGGGAUCAAAUAUUUUUUGAAUACUAAAUUCAAGGUCAAACAUCUGGGAAACAUUCAUUAUUUUCUAGGCAUGGAAGGUUUGAGAGAAAAAGGAUAUUUAUGGUGAGUCAAAGAAAGUUUAUCUUAGAUAUGCUGCAGGAAUUCGAUGUCUCACAUUUGCCUCGAGUAAGCUCCUCUUUGGAUCCCUCUGUCAAAAUCCAAGAUAAUGAUCAAUACCUACAAACCCCAUUGUAUAUCAUCAUUUGGUUGGAAAGUUAAAUUUUUUAACCAAUACACGGCUAGAUCUCGGUUUUGCUAUUCUUACCCUUAGUCAAUUUAUACAAAAACCAUGCCUUUCCCAUUUUUCUGCCGCUCUUCGAGUGCUCAAAUACCUCAGUUUUGAUCUAGGUCAAGGGAUCUUACUCUCCGGUGAACCAUCUUUCUCUUUACUUGCUUUCUGUGAUACAGAUUGGGCUACCUGCAAAGAUUCACAGAGAUCUAUUAGUGGUUUCGUUAUCACCUUAAGAGGUGCACCUAUUUCCUGAAAAUCGAAGAAGCAGGCCUCAAUUUCUUUAUCUUCCGCAGAGGCGGAAUGCAGAUCUAUGAGAAGAGUGACUGCAGAGCUUACCUGGUUGGUUCGACUUCUUGACGAUCUCUCUGCCCCAGUCACUCUUCCCAUUCCCCUCCAUUCUGACAUCAAAGUAGCUAUUCGUAUCUCCCGGAACCUAGUUUUCCAUGAACGAACAAAAUAUGUAGAAAUUAACUGUCACUUUGUGCAACAGCAAUUCCUUUCAGAUUUGAUUACUCUCUCAUUUGUUUCCUCCAAGGCCCAACUCGCAGACAUAUUUACAAAACCUCUUUCUGGGGGUUUCUCAUCGAGAUAUUUUAAGCAAGUUGGGGGUAACUAUGUUCCUCUCCACCUUAAGGGAAUAUAUUGAGAAGAAAGAACUCCUGCUCCUAUUUUCAUGAAGAUAGAG